Molecule: ribosomal RNA, 466 nt
Filed under: uncultured bacterium
Lineage: Bacteria
Description: partial 16S ribosomal RNA
Rfam family: Bacterial small subunit ribosomal RNA
Source: RNAcentral
GAUGAACGCUGGCGGCGUGCUUAACACAUGCAAGUCGAACGAUGAAGCCCAGCUUGCUGGGUGGAGUAGUGGCGAACGGGUGAGUAAGACGUGAGUAACCUGCCCUUAACUCUGGGAUAAGCCUGGGAAACAGGGUCUAAUACCGGAUAGGAGCGUCCACCGCAUGGAGGGUGUUGGAGAGAUAUAUCGGUUUUGGAUGGACUCGCGGCCUAUCAGCUUGUUGGUGAGGUAAUGGCUAACCAAGGCGACGACGGGGAGCCGGCCUGAGAGGGUGACCGGCCACACUGGGACUGAGACACGGCCCAGACUCCUACGGGAGGCAGCAGUGGGGAAUAUUGCACAAUGGGCGAAAGCCUGAUGCAGCGACGCCGCGUGAGGGAUGACGGCCUUCGGGUUGUAAACCUCUUUCAGUAGGGAAGAAGCGAAAGUGACGGUACCUGCAGAAGAAGCACCGGCUAACUACGUG